Molecule: transfer RNA, 90 nt
Filed under: Verrucomicrobiales bacterium
Lineage: Bacteria; Pseudomonadati; Verrucomicrobiota; Verrucomicrobiia; Verrucomicrobiales
Description: tRNA-Ser
Rfam family: tRNA
About the family: Transfer RNA (tRNA) molecules are approximately 80 nucleotides in length.
Source: RNAcentral
GGAGAGGUGGCAGAGCGGUUUAAUGCGCCGGUCUUGAAAACCGGAGUGGCCUCACGGUUACCGUGGGUUCGAAUCCCACCCUCUCCGCCA